Non-coding RNA from Anas platyrhynchos (mallard), 819 nucleotides. The record is from RefSeq and is a predicted model, not a curated record. NCBI's taxonomy places the organism in Eukaryota, Metazoa, Chordata, Aves, Anseriformes, Anatidae.
GAAUGAACAGCUUCUGAAGACUCAUCUUCCUGCCUGCCCUGUACCCAAGCAAAGCUCAGUCACUAAUACUCAGUGCUGGAACGCAGUUCUUUUUUCUCAUCUGUCAGUUGAUGCGCCGUUUCAUCUACGAAGACCUGCCCUGUGAUGACUGACCAGAUCAUUUUAUCUGCUGGGUGAAAUGAAGCUGCUCACAGAUGCACCAUAGACUCCAUAGUUCAAGCAGGAGCAUUCCUUAAAGACCAGAUGUUUGCUGUUUGAAGGAGUGUCGUCAUCUGACGUACAGCCCGCUGCCUUUGAAGAAUCCAGGAGUUCAGCAGGAGCAGAAAACAGCAGAAAAGCUGAAUUGCUUUAAUUGGGUUGAAAAAAAUCCACAAAGGAAGUGACCUAGCAAUUUGAAGAGUUCCAGCACUGUUCCAAAGGCAAUUGGAAAAUGUGGGCUGUGGCGGUAAUUUAGGAAGUAUUUGCCCAGCUGUAAAAGACUGUUUGCCUCCUACAACACUGCAUCACUUCAAGCUUUACACAAGGUUGGAUAUCUCUAUUACUGUAUCGCUUCUGCUGCUCAAGCACCCAUCGCUCUGUUGUAAUAUCUUUGACUGGAGGUAAGUAUAGUAUAAAUUGUCACUUUGACACGUUACGCUUUGCAGCGUGUUGAAUAAUGAAUUUAACACGCUGUCAUCAUGCACCCGCACCUUGCCAAAUGUUUAAAGUUGGAGCCGCUUGUUUUGUACUCCAAGAUGUGGCUAUUUGUUUACAAAGCACUUCUGCUCCAAGAAAUGUCAUCUUCUGCACUGUUGCCAUCACUGCAGGUUUUCAGGAAAA